GACGAACGCUGGCGGCGUGCUUAACACAUGCAAGUCGUACGGUAAGGCCCUUUCGGGGGUACACGAGUGGCGAACGGGUGAGUAACACGUGAGUAACCUGCCCACAACUUUGGGAUAACGCUAGGAAACUAGUGCUAAUACUGGAUAUGUGCUCCUGCUGCAUGGUGGGGGUUGGAAAGCUCCGGCGGUUGUGGAUGGACUCGCGGCCUAUCAGCUUGUUGGUGGGGUAGUGGCCUACCAAGGCGGCGACGGGUAGCCGGCCUGAGAGGGUGACCGGCCACAUUGGGACUGAGAUACGGCCCAGACUCCUACGGGAGGCAGCAGUGGGGAAUAUUGCACAAUGGGCGCAAGCCUGAUGCGGCAACGCCGCGUGCGGGAUGACGGCCUUCGGGUUGUAAACCGCUUUCAGCAGGGACGAAGCUUUUUGUGACGGUACCUGCAGAAGAAGCACCGGCUAACUACGUG
This 465-nucleotide ribosomal RNA is filed under the name uncultured bacterium. RNAcentral's name for it is "partial 16S ribosomal RNA". It matches the Rfam family "Bacterial small subunit ribosomal RNA", at positions 28 to 507 of the family's 1533-position model. The record is from RNAcentral.